This 105-nucleotide microRNA precursor is filed under the name Hordeum vulgare. Its description in RNAcentral is "microRNA MIR1122". The record is from RNAcentral. Lineage: Eukaryota; Viridiplantae; Streptophyta; Magnoliopsida; Poales; Poaceae.
AUAGUACUCCCUCCGUCCCAAAAUAACUGUCUUAAGCUUAAUAUGAUUUUAUACUAGAGCUAGUAUAAAGUUGAGACAGUUAUUUUGGGACGGAGGGAGUACAAU